UAGAGUUUGAUCCUGGCUCAGAACGAACGCUGGCGGCGCGCCUAAUACAUGCAAGUCGAGCGAGAAGACGUAGCAAUACGUUUGUAAAGCGGCGAACGGGUGAGGAAUACAUGGGUAACCUACCCUCGAGUGGGGAAUAACUAGCCGAAAGGUUAGCUAAUACCGCAUACGGCUCCCGGUCUGCGGAUCGGGAGAGAAAGCGAUACCGUGGGUAUCGCGCUCUUGGAUGGGCUCAUGUCCUAUCAGCUUGUUGGUGAGGUAACGGCUCACCAAGGCUUCGACGGGUAGCUGGUCUGAGAGGACGAUCAGCCACACUGGCACUGCGACACGGGCCAGACUCCUACGGGAGGCAGCAGUAAGGAAUAUUGCGCAAUGGGCGACAGCCUGACGCAGCGACGCCGCGUGGGGGAUGAAGGUCUUCGGAUUGUAAACCCCUUUCGGCAGGGAAGAUGGAACGGGUAACCGUUCGGACGGUACCUGCAGAAGCAGCCACGGCUAACUUCGUGCCAGCAGCCGCGGUAAUACGAAGGUGGCAAGCGUUGUUCGGAUUUACUGGGCGUACAGGGAGCGUAGGCGGUUGGGUAAGCCCUCCGUGAAAUCUCCGGGCCUAACCCGGAAAGUGCGGAGGGGACUGCUCGGCUAGAGGAUGGGAGAGGAGCGCGGAAUUCCCGGUGUAGCGGUGAAAUGCGUAGAGAUCGGGAGGAAGGCCGGUGGCGAAGGCGGCGCUCUGGAACAUUUCUGACGCUGAGGCUCGAAAGCGUGGGGAGCAAACAGGAUUAGAUACCCUGGUAGUCCACGCCUUAAACGAUGGAUACUAAGUGUCGGCGGGUUACCGCCGGUGCCGCAGCUAACGCAUUAAGUAUCCCGCCUGGGAAGUACGGCCGCAAGGUUGAAACUCAAAGGAAUUGACGGGGGCCCGCACAAGCGGUGGAGCAUGUGGUUUAAUUCGACGCAACGCGAAGAACCUUACCCAGGCUGGACAUGCAGGUAGUAGAAGGGUGAAAGCCUAACGAGGUAGCAAUACCAUCCUGCUCAGGUGCUGCAUGGCUGUCGUCAGCUCGUGCCGUGAGAUGUUGGGUUAAGUCCCGCAACGAGCGCAACCCUUGCCGUUAGUUGCCAGCAUUAAGUUGGGCACUCUAACGGGACUGCCGACCUUCAAGUCGGAGGAAGGUGGGGAUGACGUCAAGUCCUCAUGGCCCUUACGUCCAGGGCUACACACGUGCUACAAUGGCCGGUACAAUGGGUCGCGAACCUGCGAAGGGGAGCUAAUCUCAAAAAACCGGCCUCAGUACAGAUAAGAGUCUGCAACUCGACUCUUUGAAGUCGGAAUCGCUAGUAAUCGCUGAUCAGCAUGGCAGCGGUGAAUACGUUCCCGGGCCUUGUACACACCGCCCGUCACACCAUGGGAAUCGACUGCUCCAGAAGUGGCUGCACCAACCCGCAAGGGAGGAAGGCCCCCAAGGAGUGCUCGGUGACUGGGGUGAAGUCGUAACAAGGUAACCGUAA
RNAcentral lists this ribosomal RNA (1506 nucleotides) under uncultured Nitrospira sp. RNAcentral describes it as "bacterial SSU rRNA". It matches the Rfam family "Bacterial small subunit ribosomal RNA". The record is from RNAcentral. Lineage: Bacteria; Pseudomonadati; Nitrospirota; Nitrospiria; Nitrospirales; Nitrospiraceae.